Molecule: ribosomal RNA, 465 nt
Filed under: uncultured bacterium
Lineage: Bacteria
Description: partial 16S ribosomal RNA
Rfam family: Bacterial small subunit ribosomal RNA
Source: RNAcentral
GACGAACGCUGGCGGCGUGCUUAACACAUGCAAGUCGAACGGAAAGGCCCCUUUGGGGGUACUCGAGUGGCGAACGGGUGAGUAACACGUGAGUAACCUGCCCUUGACUUCGGGAUAACUUCAGGAAACUGGGGCUAAUACCGGAUAGGAAUCCUUGCUGCAUGGUGGGGGUUGGAAAGCUUCGGCGGUUUUGGAUGGACUCGCGGCUUAUCAGCUUGUUGGUGGGGUAGUGGCUUACCAAGGCUUUGACGGGUAGCCGGCCUGAGAGGGCGACCGGCCACAUUGGGACUGAGAUACGGCCCAGACUCCUACGGGAGGCAGCAGUGGGGAAUAUUGCACAAUGGGCGGAAGCCUGAUGCAGCAACGCCGCGGGCGGGAUGACGGCCUUCGGGUUGUAAACCGCUUUCAGCAGGGGAGAAGCUUGUGGUGACGGUACCUGCAGAAGAAGCACCGGCUAACUACGUG